UACAGAGGUCUCAAGCGUUGUUCGGAUUCAUUGGGCGUAAAGCGCGCGCAGGCGGCCUCCUAAGUCCGAUGUGAAAGCCCACGGCUCAACCGUGGAGGGUCAUUGGAAACUGGGGGACUUGAGUGCAGGAGAGAAGAGUGGAAUUCCACGUGUAGCGGUGAAAUGCGUAGAGAUGUGGAGGAACACCAGUGGCGAAGGCGACUCUUUGGCCUGUAACUGACGCUGAGGCGCGAAAGCGUGGGGAGCAAACAGG
This 253-nucleotide ribosomal RNA is filed under the name uncultured bacterium. RNAcentral's name for it is "partial 16S ribosomal RNA". It matches the Rfam family "Bacterial small subunit ribosomal RNA", at positions 524 to 776 of the family's 1533-position model. The record is from RNAcentral.